ACAAAGAAAAAUUAAACCCCACUUUAAGCUUAUGGACAAGAACGAGCCACCAGAGGAAUUCUUGAGGAACCGGCCAGAUGUCCAAAUUAUUUAGCUUCCAUGAUCACCUUCAAUCGGCCACCUCAACACAGAAACUUCUACAAAGCUCUGUUAUGCAUGAAUGAGUCGGUUUCGGUUUCAAAAUUUGUUUCCAUACAUUUCCUUCUUUUAAAUCACGAUAUCAUUCUCAUUAUAAAACUUUAGUCUAGUAAAUUAGUGAGUGGGAAGGAGAGAGAGAGAGAGAGAGAGAGAGAGAGAGAGAGAGAGAGAAAGCUAGAGAGAGAAACCACGCACCCAAAACAGAGCACCGGUUACGGGGGCAUGACAGAAAUGGAUUUUCAUCCUUCACGCCAAGGUAGGUUGAGUUUUCUUCUUCCCGAUUGUCUUCCUCAUUCCUUUAGAUGUUUAUGAUCACCUAUAUAUGUUACCCAAUCACCGAAUUACAGCAGCAAGCUUCGAAAGUUGAAAUUGUGCUGCUGCAUCGGAACAACACCCCUGUUCAGCUAGGUGUUUGUUCUUCGUUUAAAUUCCUUCCUAAUUUGUGCUUUCCUUUCCAAAAUCUUGUAGUUAGUUGUUAGAAUAAACUUGAAAAUUAAUCAAAACUCUCACCAUACACUAUUUUAAUUGUCG
This 669-nucleotide long non-coding RNA is filed under the name Carica papaya (papaya). RNAcentral's name for it is "long non-coding RNA (CPAP_LNC011047)". Lineage: Eukaryota; Viridiplantae; Streptophyta; Magnoliopsida; Brassicales; Caricaceae. The record is from RNAcentral.